RNAcentral lists this ribosomal RNA (460 nucleotides) under uncultured bacterium. RNAcentral describes it as "SSU rRNA". It matches the Rfam family "Bacterial small subunit ribosomal RNA", at positions 26 to 518 of the family's 1533-position model. The record is from RNAcentral.
AGAGCGAACGCUGGCGGCAGGCCUAAUACAUGCAAGUCGAACGGACCCUUCGGGGUUAGUGGCGGACGGGUGAGUAACACGUGGGAACGUGCCCUUUGGUUCGGAACAACUCAGGGAAACUUGAGCUAAUACCGAAUGUGCCCCCAUCCUUAAACAAGAUGGGUGGGAAAGAUUUAUCGCCAUUGGAGCGGCCCGCGUCUGAUUAGCUAGUUGGUGGGGUAAAGGCUCACCAAGGCGACGAUCAGUAGCUGGUCUGAGAGGAUGAUCAGCCACACUGGGACUGAGACACGGCCCAGACUCCUACGGGAGGCAGCAGUAGGGAAUCUUGCGCAAUGGGCAAAGCCUGACGCAGCCAUGCCGCGUGACGGAUGACGCCUCGUUGGGUGUAAACGUCUUUGCCGGGAAGAGAACGGACGGUACCCGGCGAAUCAGGACCGGCUAACUACGUGCCAGCAGCCGC